UGGGGAAUUUUGCACAAUGGGGGAAACCCUGAUGCAGCGACGCCGCGUGAUUUAGAAGGCCUUCGGGUUGUAAAAAUCUUUUCUAUGGGAAGAAAAUGACAGUACCAUAGGAGUAAGGACCGGCUAAUUACGUGCCAGCAGCCGCGGUAAUACGUAAGGUCCGAGCGUUGUCCGGAAUCAUUGGGCGUAAAGGGUACGUAGGCGGGUAAGCAAGUUAGAAGUGAAAUCCUAUAGCUCAACUAUAGUAAGCUUUUAAAACUGCUCAUCUUGAGGUAUGGAAGGGAAAGUGGAAUUCCUAGUGUAGCGGUGAAAUGCGCAGAUAUUAGGAGGAAUACCGGUGGCGAAGGCGACUUUCUGGCCAUAACCUGACGCUGAGGUACGAAAGCGUGGGUAGCAAACAGG
RNAcentral lists this ribosomal RNA (402 nucleotides) under bacterium. Its description in RNAcentral is "partial 16S ribosomal RNA". It matches the Rfam family "Bacterial small subunit ribosomal RNA", at positions 355 to 776 of the family's 1533-position model. RNAcentral also lists the same sequence under 1 other name. The record is from RNAcentral.